RNAcentral lists this ribosomal RNA (492 nucleotides) under uncultured bacterium. Its description in RNAcentral is "partial 16S ribosomal RNA". It matches the Rfam family "Bacterial small subunit ribosomal RNA", at positions 28 to 507 of the family's 1533-position model. The record is from RNAcentral.
GAUGAACGCUAGCUACAGGCUUAACACAUGCAAGUCGAGGGGAAACGACAUCGAAAGCUUGCUUUUGAUGGGCGUCGACCGGCGCACGGGUGAGUAACGCGUAUCCAACCUGCCCAUCACUUGGGGAUAACCUUGCGAAAGUAAGACUAAUACCCAAUGAUAUCUCUAGAAGACAUCUGAAAGAGAUUAAAGAUUUAUCGGUGAUGGAUGGGGAUGCGUCUGAUUAGCUUGUUGGCGGGGUAACGGCCCACCAAGGCAACGAUCAGUAGGGGUUCUGAGAGGAAGGUCCCCCACAUUGGAACUGAGACACGGUCCAAACGCCUACGGGAGGCAGCAGUGAGGAAUAUUGGUCAAUGGGCGAGAGCCUGAACCAGCCAAGUAGCGUGCAGGAAGACGGCCCUAUGGGUUGUAAACUGCUUUUAUAAGGGAAUAAAGUGAGAGUCGUGACUCUUUUUGUAUGUACCUUAUGAAUAAGGACCGGCUAAUUCCGUG